Molecule: ribosomal RNA, 301 nt
Filed under: uncultured bacterium
Lineage: Bacteria
Description: partial 16S ribosomal RNA
Rfam family: Bacterial small subunit ribosomal RNA
Source: RNAcentral
CAGCCGCCGCGGGAAUACGAAGGGUGCGAGCGUUAAUCGGAAUUACUGGGCGUAAAGCGUGCGUAGGCGGUUUGUUAAGUCUGCUGUGAAAUCCCCGGGCUCAACCUGGGAAUGGCAGUGGAUACUGGCAAGCUAGAGUGUGUCAGAGGAUGGUGGAAUUCCCGGUGUAGCGGUGAAAUGCGUAGAGAUCGGGAGGAACAUCAGUGGCGAAGGCGGCCAUCUGGGACAACACUGACGCUGAGGCACGAAAGCGUGGGGAGCAAACAGGAUUAGAUACCCCCGUAGUCCCUGUCUCUUAUAC